Molecule: ribosomal RNA, 165 nt
Filed under: Raddia angustifolia
Lineage: Eukaryota; Viridiplantae; Streptophyta; Magnoliopsida; Poales; Poaceae
Description: 5.8S ribosomal RNA
Rfam family: 5.8S ribosomal RNA
About the family: 5.8S ribosomal RNA (5.8S rRNA) is a component of the large subunit of the eukaryotic ribosome. It is transcribed by RNA polymerase I as part of the 45S precursor that also contains 18S and 28S rRNA.
Source: RNAcentral
CGACUCUCGGCAACGGAUAUCUCGGCUCUCGCAUCGAUGAAGAACGUAGCGAAAUGCGAUACCUGGUGUGAAUUGCAGAAUCCCGCGAACCAUCGAGUCUUUGAACGCAAGUUGCGCCCGAGGCCAUCCGGCCGAGGGCACGCCUGCCUGGGCGUCACGCCAAAA